ACAGCAGUCGCCGCGGGAAUACAGAGGGUGCAAGCGUUAAUCGGAAUUACUGGGCGUAAAGCGCACGCAGGCGGUCUGUCAAGUCAGAUGUGAAAUCCCCGGGCUUAACCUGGGAACUGCAUUUGAAACUGGCAGGCUAGAGUCUUGUAGAGGGGGGUAGAAUUCCAGGUGUAGCGGUGAAAUGCGUAGAGAUCUGGAGGAAUACCGGUGGCGAAGGCGGCCCCCUGGACAAAGACUGACGCUCAGGUGCGAAAGCGUGGGGAGCAAACAGGAUUAGAUACCCGAGUAGUCCCUGUCUCUUAUAA
This 305-nucleotide ribosomal RNA is filed under the name uncultured bacterium. Its description in RNAcentral is "partial 16S ribosomal RNA". It matches the Rfam family "Bacterial small subunit ribosomal RNA", at positions 508 to 809 of the family's 1533-position model. The record is from RNAcentral.